Molecule: ribosomal RNA, 492 nt
Filed under: uncultured bacterium
Lineage: Bacteria
Description: partial 16S ribosomal RNA
Rfam family: Bacterial small subunit ribosomal RNA
Source: RNAcentral
AGUGAACGCUGGCGGUAGGCCUAACACAUGCAAGUCGAACGGCAGCACAGUAAGAGCUUGCUCUUACGGGUGGCGAGUGGCGGACGGGUGCGGAAUACAUCGGAAUCUACUUUUUCGUGGGGGAUAACGUAGGGAAACUUACGCUAAUACCGCAUACGCCCUACGGGUGAAAGCAGGGGAUCUUCGGACCUUGCGCGAUUGAAUGAGCCGAUGUCGGAUUAGCUAGUUGGCGGGGUAAAGGCCCACCAAGGCGACGAUCCGUAGCUGGUCUGAGAGGAUGAUCAGCCACACUGGAACUAAGACACGGUCCAGACUCCUACGGGAGGCAGCAGUGGGGAAUAUUGUACAAUGGGCGCAAGCCUGAUGCAGCCAUACCGCGUGGGUGAAGAAGGCCUUCGGGUUGUAAAGCCCUUUUGUUGGGAAAGAAAAGCAGCAGGUUAAUACCCCGCUGUUCUGACGGUAGCCAAAGAAUAAGCACCGGCUAACUUCGUG